AGACCCGAAACCCGGUGAUCUAGCCAUGGGCAGGUUGAAGGUUGGGUAACACUAACUGGAGGACCGAACCGACUAAUGUUGAAAAAUUAGCGGAUGACCUGUGGCUGGGGGUGAAAGGCCAAUCAAACCGGGAGAUAGCUGGUUCUCCCCGAAAGCUAUUUAGGUAGCGCCUCGUGAAUUCAUCUCCGGGGGUAGAGCACUGUUUCGGCUAGGGGGCCAUCCCGGCUUACCAACCCGAUGCAAACUGCGAAUACCGGAGAAUGUUAUCACGGGAGACACACGGCGGGUGCUAACGUCCGUCGUGAAGAGGGAAACAACCCAGACCGCCAGCUAAGGUCCCAAAGUCAUGGUUAAGUGGGAAACGAUGUGGGAAGGCCCAGACAGCCAGGAUGUUGGCUUAGAAGCAGCCAUCAUUUAAAGAAAGCGUAAUAGCUCACUGGUCGAGUCGGCCUGCGCGGAAGAUGUAACGGGGCUAAACCAUGCACCGAAGCUGCGGCAGCGAACGUAUCACUUAAAGCGAUUCAGCGGGUUACGAUUGACGGAGCGAAGCGACGUCAAAGCGUAUACAAAGUCGAGUCGGUUUAAGGAUACGUUCGUUGGGUAGGGGAGCGUUCUGUAAGCCUGUGAAGGUGUGUCGUGAGGCAUGCUGGAGGUAUCAGAAGUGCGAAUGCUGACAUAAGUAACGAUAAAGCGGGUGAAAAGCCCGCUCGCCGGAAGACCAAGGGUUCCUGUCCAACGUUAAUCGGGGCAGGGUGAGUCGACCCCUAAGGCGAGGCCGAAAGGCGUAGUCGAUGGGAAACGGGUUAAUAUUCCCGUACUUGGUGUUACUGCGAAGGGGGGACGGAGAAGGCUAUGUUGGCCGGGCGACGGUUGUCCCGGUUUAAGCGUGUAGGUGUGUGUUCCAGGUAAAUCCGGUUCACUUUAACACUGAGGCGUGAUGACGAGGCACUACGGUGCUGAAGCAACAAAUGCCCUGCUUCCAGGAAAAGCCUCUAAGCAUCAGGUAACAUCAAAUCGUACCCCAAACCGACACAGGUGGUCAGGUAGAGAAUACCAAGGCGCUUGAGAGAACUCGGGUGAAGGAACUAGGCAAAAUGGUGCCGUAACUUCGGGAGAAGGCACGCUGACAUGUAGGUGAAGUGAUUUACUCAUGGAGCUGAAGUCAGUCGAAGAUACCAGCUGGCUGCAACUGUUUAUUAAAAACACAGCACUGUGCAAACACGAAAGUGGACGUAUACGGUGUGACGCCUGCCCGGUGCCGGAAGGUUAAUUGAUGGGGUCAGCGCAAGCGAAGCUCCUGAUCGAAGCCCCGGUAAACGGCGGCCGUAACUAUAACGGUCCUAAGGUAGCGAAAUUCCUUGUCGGGUAAGUUCCGACCUGCACGAAUGGCGUAAUGAUGGCCAGGCUGUCUCCACCCGAGACUCAGUGAAAUUGAACUCGCUGUGAAGAUGCAGUGUACCCGCGGCAAGACGGAAAGACCCCGUGAACCUUUACUAUAGCUUGACACUGAACAUUGAGCCUUGAUGUGUAGGAUAGGUGGGAGGCUUUGAAGCGUGGACGCCAGUCUGCGUGGAGCCGACCUUGAAAUACCACCCUUUAAUGUUUGAUGUUCUAACGUGGACCCGUAAUCCGGGUUGCGGACAGUGUCUGGUGGGUAGUUUGACUGGGGCGGUCUCCUCCUAAAGAGUAACGGAGGAGCACGAAGGUUGGCUAAUCCUGGUCGGACAUCAGGAGGUUAGUGCAAUGGCAUAAGCCAGCUUGACUGCGAGCGUGACGGCGCGAGCAGGUGCGAAAGCAGGUCAUAGUGAUCCGGUGGUUCUGAAUGGAAGGGCCAUCGCUCAACGGAUAAAAGGUACUCCGGGGAUAACAGGCUGAUACCGCCCAAGAGUUCAUAUCGACGGCGGUGUUUGGCACCUCGAUGUCGGCUCAUCACAUCCUGGGGCUGAAGUAGGUCCCAAGGGUAUGGCUGUUCGCCAUUUAAAGUGGUACGCGAGCUGGGUUUAGAACGUCGUGAGACAGUUCGGUCCCUAUCUGCCGUGGGCGCUGGAGAACUGAGGGGGGCUGCUCCUAGUACGAGAGGACCGGAGUGGACGCAUCACUGGUGUUCGGGUUGUCAUGCCAAUGGCACUGCCCGGUAGCUAAAUGCGGAAGAGAUAAGUGCUGAAAGCAUCUAAGCACGAAACUUGCCCCGA
RNAcentral lists this ribosomal RNA (2192 nucleotides) under Salmonella enterica subsp. enterica serovar Infantis. RNAcentral describes it as "partial 23S ribosomal RNA". It matches the Rfam family "Bacterial large subunit ribosomal RNA", at positions 711 to 2802 of the family's 2925-position model. The record is from RNAcentral. Lineage: Bacteria; Pseudomonadati; Pseudomonadota; Gammaproteobacteria; Enterobacterales; Enterobacteriaceae.